This 253-nucleotide ribosomal RNA is filed under the name uncultured bacterium. RNAcentral's name for it is "partial 16S ribosomal RNA". It matches the Rfam family "Bacterial small subunit ribosomal RNA", at positions 524 to 776 of the family's 1533-position model. The record is from RNAcentral.
UACGUAGGAGGCGAGCGUUGUCCGGAGUUACUGGGCGUAAAGGGUGCGCAGGCGGUGGCCCGCGUGGGCGGUGAAAGCUCCUGGCUCAACUGGGAGAGGGCCGUCCAGACGGGGUCACUUGAGAGUUGGAGGGGGGACUGGAAUUCUUGGUGUAGCAGUGAAAUGCGUAGAUAUCAAGAGGAACACCAGUGGCGAAGGCGAGUCCCUGGACAACUUCUGACGCUGAGGCACGAAAGCUAGGGGAGCAAACAGG